Molecule: ribosomal RNA, 361 nt
Filed under: Desulfosporosinus sp. enrichment clone BER3_Nt5
Lineage: Bacteria; Bacillati; Bacillota; Clostridia; Eubacteriales; Desulfitobacteriaceae
Description: bacterial SSU rRNA
Rfam family: Bacterial small subunit ribosomal RNA
Source: RNAcentral
GCCCGCCGCGCCCCGCGCCCGUCCCGCCCCCGCCCACGGGUGCAGCAGGCGGGAUAAUACGUAGGGGGCAAGCGUUGUCCGGAAUCAUUGGGCGUAAAGGGCGUGUAGGCGGAAAUUUAAGUUCGAUGUGAAAUAUAGGGGCUUAACCUCUAAAAUGCAUCGGAAAGGGGGAGUCUUGAGAUCUGGAGAGGAAAGUGGAAAUCCACGUGUUCCCGUUAAAUGCCCAAAAAUUUUCGCCCGCCGCGCCCCGCGCCCGUCCCGCCCCCGCCCAAGGGUGCAGCAGGCGCGAAAGCGUGGGGAGCAAACAGGAUUAGAUACCCUGGUAGUCCACGCCGUAAACGAUGAGUGAUAGGUGUAGAGG